RNAcentral lists this ribosomal RNA (464 nucleotides) under Vreelandella stevensii. Its description in RNAcentral is "partial 16S ribosomal RNA". It matches the Rfam family "Bacterial small subunit ribosomal RNA", at positions 338 to 795 of the family's 1533-position model. Lineage: Bacteria; Pseudomonadati; Pseudomonadota; Gammaproteobacteria; Oceanospirillales; Halomonadaceae. The record is from RNAcentral.
CCUACGGAGGCAGCAGUGGGGAAUAUUGGACAAUGGGGGCAACCCUGAUCCAGCCAUGCCGCGUGUGUGAAGAAGGCCCUCGGGUUGUAAAGCACUUUCAGUGAGGAAGAACGCCUGGUGGUUAAUACCCAUCAGGAAAGACAUCACUCACAGAAGAAGCACCGGCUAACUCCGUGCCAGCAGCCGCGGUAAUACGGAGGGUGCGAGCGUUAAUCGGAAUUACUGGGCGUAAAGCGCGCGUAGGUGGCUUGAUAAGCCGGUUGUGAAAGCCCCGGGCUCAACCUGGGAACGGCAUCCGGAACUGUCAAGCUAGAGUGCAGGAGAGGAAGGUAGAAUUCCCGGUGUAGCGGUGAAAUGCGUAGAGAUCGGGAGGAAUACCAGUGGCGAAGGCGGCCUUCUGGACUGACACUGACACUGAGGUGCGAAAGCGUGGGUAGCAAACAGGAUUAGAUACCCUGGUAGUC